This 1352-nucleotide ribosomal RNA is filed under the name uncultured bacterium. RNAcentral describes it as "bacterial SSU rRNA". It matches the Rfam family "Bacterial small subunit ribosomal RNA", at positions 28 to 1381 of the family's 1533-position model. The record is from RNAcentral.
AUUGAACGCUGGCGGCAUGCCUUACACAUGCAAGUCGAACGGCAGCGCGGGGCAACCUGGCGGCGAGUGGCGAACGGGUGAGUAAUAUAUCGGAACGUACCCUGGAGUGGGGGAUAACGUAGCGAAAGUUACGCUAAUACCGCAUACGAUCUAAGGAUGAAAGUGGGGGAUUCGCAAGAACCUCAUGCUCCUGGAGCGGCCGAUAUCUGAUUAGCUAGUUGGUGGGGUAAAGGCCUACCAAGGCAUCGAUCAGUAGCUGGUCUGAGAGGACGGCCAGCCACACUGGAACUGAGACACGGUCCAGACUCCUACGGGAGGCAGCAGUGGGGAAUUUUGGACAAUGGGCGAAAGCCUGAUCCAGCAAUGCCGCGUGAGUGAAGAAGGCCUUCGGGUUGUAAAGCUCUUUUGUCAGGGAAGAAACGGUGAGGGCUAAUAUCCUUUGCUAAUGACGGUACCUGAAGAAUAAGCACCGGCUAACUACGUGCCAGCAGCCGCGGUAAUACGUAGGGUGCAAGCGUUAAUCGGAAUUACUGGGCGUAAAGCGUGCGCAGGCGGUUUUGUAAGUCUGUCGUGAAAUCCCCGGGCUCAACCUGGGAAUUGCGAUGGAGACUGCAAGGCUAGAAUCUGGCAGAGGGGGGUAGAAUUCCACGUGUAGCAGUGAAAUGCGUAGAGAUGUGGAGGAACACCGAUGGCGAAGGCAGCCCCCUGGGUCAAGAUUGACGCUCAUGCACGAAAGCGUGGGGAGCAAACAGGAUUAGAUACCCUGGUAGUCCACGCCCUAAACGAUGUCUACUAGUUGUCGGGUUUUAAUUAACUUGGUAACGCAGCUAACGCGUGAAGUAGACCGCCUGGGGAGUACGGUCGCAAGAUUAAAACUCAAAGGAAUUGACGGGGACCCGCACAAGCGGUGGAUGAUGUGGAUUAAUUCGAUGCAACGCGAAAAACCUUACCUACCCUUGACAUGUACGGAAGUCCGGAGAGAUCUGGAUGUGCUCGAAAGAGAGCCGUAACACAGGUGCUGCAUGGCUGUCGUCAGCUCGUGUCGUGAGAUGUUGGGUUAAGUCCCGCAACGAGCGCAACCCUUGUCAUUAGUUGCUACGAAAGGGCACUCUAAUGAGACUGCCGGUGACAAACCGGAGGAAGGUGGGGAUGACGUCAAGUCCUCAUGGCCCUUAUGGGUAGGGCUUCACACGUCAUACAAUGGUACAUACAGAGGGCCGCCAACCCGCGAGGGGGAGCUAAUCCCAGAAAGUGUAUCGUAGUCCGGAUUGUAGUCUGCAACUCGACUACAUGAAGUUGGAAUCGCUAGUAAUCGCGGAUCAGCAUGUCGCGGUGAAUACGUUCCCGGGUCU